ACCCGCACAAGCGGUGGAUGAUGUGGAUUAAUUCGAUGCAACGCGAAAACCUUACCCACCUUUGACAUGUACGGAAUCCUUUAGAGAUAGAGGAGUGCUCGAAAGAGAGCCGUAACACAGGUGCUGCAUGGCUGUCGUCAGCUCGUGUCGUGAGAUGUUGGGUUAAGUCCCGCAACGAGCGCAACCCUUGUCAUUAGUUGCUACAUUUGGUUGGGCACUCUAGUGAGACUGCCGGUGACAAACCGGAGGAAGGUGGGGAUGACGUCAAGUCCUCAUGGCCCUUAUGGGUAGGGCUUCACACGUCAUACAAUGGUCGGUACAGAGGGUUGCCAAGCCGCGAGGUGGAGCCAAUCCCUUAAAGCCGAUCGUAGUCCGGAUCGUAGUCUGCAACUCGACUACAUGAAGUCGGAAUCGCUAGUAAUCGCGGAUCAGCAUGUCGCGGUGAAUACGUUCCCGGGCCUU
RNAcentral lists this ribosomal RNA (462 nucleotides) under uncultured Acidovorax sp. Its description in RNAcentral is "bacterial SSU rRNA". It matches the Rfam family "Bacterial small subunit ribosomal RNA", at positions 919 to 1382 of the family's 1533-position model. Lineage: Bacteria; Pseudomonadati; Pseudomonadota; Betaproteobacteria; Burkholderiales; Comamonadaceae. The record is from RNAcentral.